Molecule: ribosomal RNA, 365 nt
Filed under: uncultured bacterium
Lineage: Bacteria
Description: bacterial SSU rRNA
Rfam family: Bacterial small subunit ribosomal RNA
Source: RNAcentral
AUUGAACGCUGGCGGCAUGGCUAAAACAUGCAAGUCGAACGGACCCGCAAGGGUUAGUGGCGGAAGGGUGAGUAAAAGUAUCGAAUGUGCCCCGAGGUGGGGGAGUAGGCACGGGAAGCUGUGCGUAAUACCUCAUGAUCUCGAGAGAGACAAAGGCCGUACCCCUUAAAACGGUGUCGCCUUGGGAGCAGCGAUAUACCUAUCAGGUAGUUGGCGGGGUAAUGGCCCACCAAGCCGAAGACGGGUAGCCGGUAUGAGAGUACGGCCGGCCACAUCGGGACUGAGACACUGCCCGGACUCCUACGGGAGGCUGCAGUAACGAAUAUUCCGCAAUGCACGAAAGUGCGACGGAGCAAUGCCGCGUG